Molecule: ribosomal RNA, 1346 nt
Filed under: uncultured bacterium
Lineage: Bacteria
Description: bacterial SSU rRNA
Rfam family: Bacterial small subunit ribosomal RNA
Source: RNAcentral
GACGAACGCUGGCGGCGUGCUUAACACAUGCAAGUCGAACGGAAAGGCCCUGCUUUUGUGGGGUGCUCGAGUGGCGAACGGGUGAGUAACACGUGAGUAACCUGCCCUUGACUUUGGGAUAACUUCAGGGAACUGGGGCUAAUACCGGAUAGGAGCUCCUGCUGCAUGGUGGGGGUUGGAAAGUUUCGGCGGUUGGGGAUGGACUCGCGGCUUAUCAGCUUGUUGGUGGGGUAGUGGCUUACCAAGGCUUUGACGGGUAGCCGGCCUGAGAGGGUGACCGGCCACAUUGGGACUGAGAUACGGCCCAGACUCCUACGGGAGGCAGCGGUUGGGAAUAUUGCACAAUGGGCGGAAGCCUGAUGCAGCAACGCCGCGUGCGGGAUGACGGCCUUCGGGUUGUAAACCGCUUUCGCCUGUGACGAAGCGUGAGUGACGGUAAUGGGUAAAGAAGCACCGGCUAACUACGUGCCAGCAGCCGCGGUGAUACGUAGGGUGCGAGCGUUGUCCGGAUUUAUUGGGCGUAAAGGGCUCGUAGGUGGUUGAUCGCGUCGGAAGUGUAAUCUUGGGGCUUAACCCUGAGCGUGCUUUCGAUACGGGUUGACUUGAGGAAGGUAGGGGAGAAUGGAAUUCCUGGUGGAGCGGUGGAAUGCGCAGAUAUCAGGAGGAACACCAGUGGCGAAGGCGGUUCUCUGGGCCUUUCCUGACGCUGAGGAGCGAAAGCGUGGGGAGCGAACAGGCUUAGAUACCCUGGUAGUCCACGCUGUAAACGGUGGGUACUAGGUGUGGGGUCCAUUCCACGGGUUCCGUGCCGUAGCUAACGCUUUAAGUACCCCGCCUGGGGAGUACGGCCGCAAGGCUAAAACUCAAAGGAAUUGACGGGGCCCCGCACAAGCGGCGGAGCAUGCGGACUAAUUCGAUGCAACGCGUAGAACCUUACCUGGGUUUGACAUGGAUCGGGAGCGCUCAGAGAUGGGUGUGCCUCUUUUGGGGUCGGUUCACAGGUGGUGCAUGGCUGUCGUCAGCUCGUGUCGUGAGAUGUUGGGUUAAGUCCCGCAACGAGCGCAACCCUUGUUCACUGUUGCCAGCACGUUAUGGUGGGGACUCAGUGGAGACCGCCGGGGUCAACUCGGAGGAAGGUGGGGAUGACGUCAAGUCAUCAUGCCCCUUAUGUCCAGGGCUUCACGCAUGCUACAAUGGCUGGUACAGAGAGUGGCGAGCCUGUGAGGGUGAGCGAAUCUCGGAAAGCCGGUCUCAGUUCGGAUUGGGGUCUGCAACUCGACCUCAUGAAGUCGGAGUCGCUAGUAAUCGCAGAUCAGCAACGCUGCGGUGAAUACGUUCCCGGGGCU